Molecule: long non-coding RNA, 1798 nt
Organism: Monomorium pharaonis (pharaoh ant)
Lineage: Eukaryota; Metazoa; Arthropoda; Insecta; Hymenoptera; Formicidae
Exons: 6
Source: RefSeq, a predicted model, not a curated record
AUCUGAGAAGAAAGCAAGUGUAGCGUGUAGCGAAAAUAUUAGUUUAUAUCUAUGGUGUAGUCGAGCGGAGUUAAGCCCUGUCUUAGUUGGUCUUAGUGCGUGGUUAAUUGAAGUCUUUCGGGCGCGCGAGUGUUUACGGACAUAUUUAAAACCGAACAAAUUUUUAUAUGUGCUUUUUUGGCAAUUGGUAAUGGCAUAAAUUACUCCGGAGUUUGCGUCGCUGUGUGUUUGCUCACUCUACGAUGGGAAACAUAACCUCCAAAUGACAGUUUCCUUAAUGUACUGGACUAUAUAAACAAUUUAUUUCCCAUGGAACAGUCACUGUCAAAUAUCAAUGAAGUGGUGAAUAAUAUAGAAAAUAAAACACUAUUAAUAGGAUAUAUGACAAUUCUGUGCUCGCUGGACAACAAGUAGUCAUCCGAGAAAUUUCAGAUCAUCUGUGCUAUCUGGGCGUUUAUCUACCUACCAAAGUUUGAAUUGCAAGCCUAAUAUAUGAUCAACUGGAACCUGUGGUACCAUGGCGAUCGAAUUAAAGUGAUACUAAUUGUAAGUGAAGACCGUGAAGCUGUUGGCACUUCACUUUCGAUCAUUUGCAUAUGCUAGUGGAAGGAGUAGAUAAUCUAAAAAUAUUAACACAAGAAAACAACAUGGAAAAAUUAUUGUACCAUUGCAAGGAGUGAUGCAAAUGAUUUUAACAGUUAUAUGGACAUGUCACAAGUGAAGCAAUUAUCUGAUCAAGGUUCAUCAGAUUCAGCAUAUGUUGGCCUAGCGGAUUUCAAACAGGCCUUUUCGAGUCAAAAUCCAAAAUAUUUCAACCAGUUAACGGAGGGAUGUUUAGUGUUAUCAGAAUUGCAUCCUAAAGUAAAGUACCUCGCCGAAUUCUCCUUAUACACAUACAGUCGGAAGUGAAUAAAAAGUUAUUGAGGAGUCGAAUAACCUAUGGAUUUCCCCGACGGUUUUGAUUAAAAAGAAGGACGAAACAAUAAGAUUUUGUAUGGAUUAUUGGAAGUGAAUUCUGUUACAAUAAAAGACUCCUAAUCACUUCGAAGGAUUAAUUCAUAAUAUUUUGUAUUGUUUUAGCGGGGAAUUGGUGAUUUUGCAACUCUCGAUUUGAAAAGUGAAUAUUAACAGGUAAGCUUUAGAACCUAAGAAUUAAGAAAAAACUGCAUUUUCCAUUAGAAAUAGUUAUGUCUUUUGUUUUUUGCAACGCUCCACAGUGGGGAAAAAAAAGCUCAUUUUUUAGACAAAAAUUUACAGACAGUGUAAUUCUCAACUGAUUUUAAGGUUAUUUGACUUGUUUUACUUGUUAAGGUGUGCUCUUUGACAUAGUGCUGCGGCAUUAUCGAUACAAAGUUGAAAUACAAAAUGGCGGAUAAAAAUAGAGCGUCAAAAGUAUUAAAAUGCUGUCUAAUAAUGCCUUUUCGCCUAUGAUAUCAAACAUAUUUACUUCAAAAUGGGUACAUAUAUGUUUUUUGGUCCGCGGCACAUGAAUUUGAGGUCAAACUAAACAUUCAAAGAUUACAAUUUAUUAUAACAUUUAUUGUAAGGUUCAAAAAUACUAAAUCUUUACAAGAAUCAUGGAUGUACAAAAGAGCAAAAUUAUGCACUUAAUGUAUUAUUAUUUAUCUGCCAUUGUAAGGGUUCUUCUUUAUUAAUAAAAAUUUUUUUUGUUUUAACGUAACGAAUAACUUUUAGAAAGUAACUUUUCCAUCCCUCGUUAUAUAAUGUAUUAUUAAAAUGCACAACGAUACACACUACCUAUUUACAUUUUUAUUAAUUUUAAGGAAAAUAAAAAGAG